GAUGAACGCUGGCCGCGCGCCUAAUUCAUGCAACUCGAGCCACAAGACGUGGAGAUUGCUCCUCUGACGUUAGCGGCGGACGGGUGAGUAACAAGUGGAUAAACUACCUAUAAGACUGGGAUAACUUCGGCAAACCGGAGCUAAUACCGGAUAAUAUAUUGAACCGCAUGGUUCAAUAGUGAACGACGGUUUCGCUGUCCACCAUAGAUGGAUCCGCGCCGCAUUAGCUAGUUGGUAAGGUAACGGCUUACCAAGGCAACGAUGCGUAGCCGACUUGAGAGGGUGAUCGGCCACACUGACACUGAGACACGGUCCGGACUCCUACGGAGGGCAGCGGUAGGGAAUCUUCCGCAAUAGACAAAAGCCUGACGAAGCAACGCCGAGUGAGUGAUAAAGGUCUUCGGAUCGUAAAACUCUGUUGUUAGGGAGGAACAAAAGUGUAAGUAACUAUGCGCGUCUUGACGGUACCUAAUCAGAAGGCCAGGGCUGGCUACGUG
This 497-nucleotide ribosomal RNA is filed under the name uncultured bacterium. Its description in RNAcentral is "partial 16S ribosomal RNA". It matches the Rfam family "Bacterial small subunit ribosomal RNA", at positions 28 to 507 of the family's 1533-position model. The record is from RNAcentral.